UCCCAGCUGGCUCAUUUGGAAGAGCAUGUGAUUCUUGAUCUCAGGGUUAUAAGUUUGAACCCUAUGUUGGGUG
RNAcentral lists this transfer RNA (73 nucleotides) under Canis lupus familiaris (dog). It matches the Rfam family "tRNA". From Rfam's summary of the family: Transfer RNA (tRNA) molecules are approximately 80 nucleotides in length. Lineage: Eukaryota; Metazoa; Chordata; Mammalia; Carnivora; Canidae. The record is from Rfam by way of RNAcentral. RNAcentral also lists the same sequence under 2 other names.